UUACAUUGUCUUUGGUUGUCUAAUAUUUGCAGUAAUAAAUACACAUGAUGUAUAUUUUUAUCUUAAUACAGUUUGUUAUGAUAAGUUAAUGUUUUAAGUGUAUGUUAGGUCAUUUGUUAAUAUAAAAAAGAAGAUGUGGUAUGUAGCAAAGCCCAUACCGCAUAGUCAGCUAUAAAAGGCCCUGAUAAGACAAUGUAAAACAAUUCAAACGAAAAAACUAACAGCCUUAAUAUUUAUAUAAAAAAAUGAACGAAAAACAAAUAUGUAACACAUAAACACACACAACCACUGAAUUACAGGCUCCUGACUUGGGACAGGCACAUACUUAAAUAAUGUGGCGGGGUAUAAGUGUAUUAUAAACAAAAAAAGAUAUUGAUUUGAAACAUUAAUGGUUGUUUGUACAUUGCAAAUAAUGAAACAUAUAUAGUAUGUAACAGUAUGUAAUAAUUACCAGUAGGGUAUGCUGUAUGUAUUCAAAACAUAUUUAAACCAGAUGUUGCUUUUUCAUACUUCAAACUUUUUGUAUGUUGCUGAAUAUCAAAACUAUAUUAACACAUAAGGGUCUUGUCUUGCCUCGUCUCUUCACACUUUGUUAAUCAACAAGUUCUAGAAAAUAGGUUGACAAAGUUGCAGAUUUUUCUACAAAACUUGAAAUUGUGCACCAGUUUUUUUUUAAUUGAUCUGAGCUAUUUUUGGGGGUUCUUUUUACCAAAACCAGGACUUUUCCAUUCUGCUUUUAUUUUUGGCAGAUUGAAGGUGACAUACUGGUAUGUCUCCUUUGGAAGACUCAUGUGUGUAGCAGCUAUGUAUUUAGAUUUAACUUGAGAAAUUCAGAUCCUUGAUGUAUAGAUGGAUUUUGAUUGACACAAUUUGAGCAAGAAUAAUUUCCCAUUUGUAGCCUUGUUGUAGGUUUCAGUGCGUAAAUACCUUCAUAUAAAAUAAACAUUCAAGAUAUUAUUCUGAAUGUUAGCCUUUAGUAAAAGGGCUUUUCUGAACAAUUUUUAACCGGAUUUUUGUGACAAAAAUGUCGGUUAUUGAUUUGGGGAUGUACGGCGGGCGGCC
This 1062-nucleotide long non-coding RNA is filed under the name Mytilus galloprovincialis (Mediterranean mussel). The record is from RNAcentral. Lineage: Eukaryota; Metazoa; Mollusca; Bivalvia; Mytilida; Mytilidae.